RNAcentral lists this long non-coding RNA (4852 nucleotides) under Nilaparvata lugens (brown planthopper). Its description in RNAcentral is "uncharacterized LOC120355959". Lineage: Eukaryota; Metazoa; Arthropoda; Insecta; Hemiptera; Delphacidae. The record is from RNAcentral.
AAUAAGAAACUAUAAUAACUUAAUAACAUUUGAACUUCUUGUUAAUCAUCUCAUCAUCUCAACUCUGAAAAUGAUAAGAUAGAUAAUUUCCCCUUCGUAAAAUUACAAUGAAAAUUUAUUUUCUUCACCUUCUAAGUUGAACUCCAUUUCACCUUUUUAUGUUAGCUUGGUCCUUGAAAUAACGCUUUAAACAAUGCUAUUUUGCUUAUGAUAGAACGCCUCAAUUAAAUUAUAAUAUUGAAUUCUAUAGUAAUUGGAUUUUAUUGAUUUGUAGUAAACUAUAAUAAUUUAAUCAUAGAAAGAAUUAAUAGGCUGAAGAAUUUCUCGUAAAUAGAGAGAUAUUAAAAAUAUUAAGUUUUUAUGUGAGAAAUAAUUUUUCACGAAGGAUUGAACUUUUGUUCCAAAUAACAAAUAUUUGUAUAUCAAAUAACAAAUAUUCAAAUCUACUUCUUUUAAUAUUUGUUGACUUGUUAUUCAGCUCAUGUUGAGUUAUCGACUAGCCUAUUCUACAAAAAUGUGCAAAUUUUCUAUUUUUUUUAUUGUCUAUCUUGAAAAUAUUACUUUCAACUUUGAUAACUUUAGUUCAAUGAUAAAUUUUAACUUUGCUUUUUUAUUCAAAUAUCAAUUAUCUCCCUUGUCAAAUCCCUUAAUCAAAACUGUAAUUUUUAUAUUUUAAAAUGUACUGCUAUUAAUACCACAGAAAGACAUUUUCUACAAUCCUAAAGUUUAAUAUUAUUUGAGGUAUUAAUUUCUAUUUAUCAAUAUUAUUUCUAUAAGAUUUUCUUGUACUAAUCCAUCUGGAUAAAAAUUACUACUAUUUACAACUCAUUGUUCAAUAUAGACUUAUAAUCAAUAUUUUAAACUAGAACAAUAAAAAAAUUCUACAUAAUCUGAGAUCUGAUUCUUAAAAGAUUGAUUUGAAAAAAAUGUAGAAUGAAAAUUCUAAAUAAGAUAUAAAAAAAUUAAAACUUACAUACUUGGAAUGAAUGAAAUGAAAGUAAUUUCAAUGACUAAUCAUUGAUAAAAAUAUGUACGAAGAUAUUAAUAAUAUUAAUAAUAUUAAAAAUACAAGGAUUAGUUUCACUUUGUCAGUAACUGAGAGAGUGAGACAGUAAACUUUUUAAAAUAAAUCAAUCACGCGGUCUGAUUUUGGUAUCCACACACCAUUUGUCAGUAACUAAGUGAGUGAGACAAUAAACUUUAUGAAAUAAUCAAUCAUAUGGUCUCAUUUAGGUAUCUGCACACCCUUUGUAAGUAACUGGACAAGUAAGAGAAUAAACUUUAUAAAAUAAAUCAAUCAUAUGGUCUGAUUUAGGUAUCUGCACACCCUUUGUAAGUAACUGGACAAGUAAGAGAAUAAACUUUAUGAAAUAAAUCAAUCAUAUGGUCUGAUUUAGGUAUCUGCACACCCUUUGUAAGUAACUGGACAAGUAAGAGAAUAAACUUUAUGAUAUAAAUCAAUCAUAUGGUCUGAUUUAGGUAUCUGCACACCCUUUGUAAGUAACUGGACAAGUAAGAGGAUAAACUUUGUAAAAUAAAUCAAUCAUAUGGUCUGAUUUAGGUAUCUGCACACCCUUUGUAAGUAACUGGACAAGUAAGAGGAUAAACUUUGUAAAAUAAAUCAAUCAUAUGGUCUGAUUUAGGUAUCUGCACACCCUUUUGUCAGUAACUAUGAGAGUGUGACAAUAAAUUUUUGUAAAAUAAAUCAAUCAUGUGGUCUUGUUUUGGUAUCUGCACACCCUUUGUCAGUAACUGAGAGAGUGAGAUAGUUAACGUUUUCAAAAUAAUCAAAACUGUACAACGUUUUAAGUAAGAUAUGAUAUCAUUGAUUUGAUAAAAAAUGUAAUGAAAUAUAUAAAUUAUUGUAUAAUACAAGAAGUAUCAUUUAGGUUUCAUUUUCAUGAAUAAAAUUAUCAAAUAUUCAGGUAUUCUAUUGCUUCCCAUGUAUCUAGAGAAACUAAAGUAAAUCAACCCAAUUGCUGAUUACUGAUUAAUUGUCAAGGAGCUCUGUUUCUUUGAACUAACAAUCGCUUUAAUAUUUUUUUCUAUAAAAAAAUGAUACAUGAUCGUACUUUUAUAUUGUUCAACUUCUCCAAUCAACAAAAUUUCCUUUCACCUUUCAUUAUAUCAACUGCCUUACUGGAUUUAAAAAAAUAUAUCUUAAAUUCAUUCUUUCUAUAUUAAAAUGCUUUUAACUUCAAUAGUUUGGUAUCCUGAUUAUGUACGUACUUUUAUAUGCUUGAUGAAGUUUAGAAUCACUGCUCAAUUUUUAUUUCUCACUUGUGAGAAAACAAGAAAGAACUUAUUUUUAAAUUUGAUUGGACUGAGCUUCCCACAAUUGUUCUUACUUAUUCUAUAAUUUGUCAAGGUUGAUAAAAACCUAUAAUCAUUGAUAAAGACCAGCAUGAUAUGUAACAAGCUAUUUUGUUAUUGCAGAUACGAUUAUAUUACAAUUUAGUAACAUUUCACCUCAUAUAUUAUGUACCAAGAUAAAGACAAUGUAAAGUUAUUGCAAUGAUUAUAUUAUCAACCUCUAUAUAUAUCUUAUUACUUCAAGUACAUAUUUCUGUGUUUUUUAAAUUCUUUAUAAUGUUUGAUUUAUCAAUAAACCACAAACUGUCUGCAAAAAAAAUGUCAAAAUUUUUUUAAAUGCUCAAGUGAAACUCGUUAUUUGGAAAAUGUUGGCAUUUCCUGGAAAUAAAAUUCAUGAGAGCCAGCUCUUACUAGAACCUUCAAAUUAAAAUUACUGUUACUUAAAAUGUAUCAAAUAAAUAAUAAAUUUAUUAUGAUAAUAACUGAGUUAUUUACUUCUUAAUGGGAUUUAUUUAUAUUAGUAUUGCCUAUAGCUCUAUUUCAUUAUGAGGUUCUAUGCAUUUAAUUAAAAUCAUUUUUAUUGAUCCAAGAAGUCAAGUCAUAAUAAUUAUUCCAUGUUUACCAAAGAAUUUCUAUCAAUUCUAAUUAAGAUUAUUGUAUUGGAAAUAUCGAUAAUAGAGCCGAAAUCCAAUUCUCUUAUAGCUCAACAAGUAACGUUAGUUUUAUAAAUUCUAUUUUGAAUUUGACUUUUCAUCAAUUCUAAUAAUUUUAUUCUCACUCAUUUUGAGAAUUCAGCUCCAUUUUCUAAUUGAGUAUUUAUUUUUCCUUUUUUCUAAUUGGUAAAACCAAGCUCAAAAUUAUGUAUUUAGAAAAAUAAAAAUAGAAACUCAUAUUAAACAUAAUCGUAGUCUAGUGUUCAAAAUCAAAUCAAAUUUAGUUCUGGAUAAAUCUUAAAAUAUAUUCUAGUAAACCUUAUUCAUUAUGAAUUCUUUGCUUAAUUUUCAUAUUCUGAUGUAAUCAGAAGUAGUUUUUCUGUUGAAAUGUUGAUUUAUAUAAUAUUUAUUUUCAUGUUGAAUUAUACUAGAUUACAGUAACUGAAUUUUACAAACUCAGAAAUCAAUUUUCAACCAAAUAACUGUCAUCCAAGUAUGAAUAAUUAUUCUCUCGACUUAACAUUACUUUAUUUCCAAGUACAACUAGAAUAAACGUUGGUGAUUGUAAUUAUCAAUCAUGCAAAUUUAAAACUUAUAGACAAUAGUUGAUUUCAAUAGAGUUUUUCAAAGUAUGAAAAUUCAAUUGUUGUUUGGGUAUUGAAUCUUUAGAAUUAAUAUUUUAGAGAAAACAACAAAUGUAAUAGAGUUUUUCAAACUAUGUAAAUUCAAUCGUUGGGUAUUGUAUAAUAUUUAAAGAGAUACUAUUUUAGAAAAUACAACAAAUGUCUCUUAUUUGAAAGCAAUUUCCUUUUCUGCUCAACUGUAACAUUCCAUUCAUUCUACUUUAGAUGUUUUCUUUUAGAAAAACGUUAACAAGCUGUAGUUAUGAGUUGAAUUUCAAGCAGGAUAUUAACUAUUUCUAUCACAAUAAUUGUAAACAAUCUAAAUCAUUGUUUUAAAAUUUCAAAAAAAAGUAUAAACAUUUUUUAUUCAAAUCUAGUUCAAAGUGAAACAUGAUACUCUGUAAAAAUGUUUUGAUCACCAAUGAAUUUAUAUAUCACUAGAUAAUUAUCCAUCACUGAAUGAAUAAAGAAGUGAAUGAAUGGGAAAAACCUUCUUAACGUCCAUUAGCAGUAUUGUUUUAUUCAAAUCAUCAGUAAUUAACUGUAAUAAUCUGUUUAAAUAAACUCAAGACGUAUUGAAGUUAUACAUAUUGGAAAUUUUUACAAUAUUCUUGGAAUGCAUUAAUUUUUAAUCAAUAGUAGCUGUUUGUUACAAUAUUAAUAAUUGUAGGCAAAUCAAUUUUUACAAUGCAUUACUAAAAUGAAGCUAAAUUAUGGAAUUGAGUUUCAAUCUUUUUAAAAACAGCCUAAUAUAUUUCUGUAUUUGAAUAAAAUUAGAAUUUAGUGAUAUUAAAAAUUAUAAUUCUACUUUCAUGUUAUUACUUGUUUUUUACUUUUACUUUUUCAUGAUUUAAAUGAUGAAAUUGAGUUUCAAUUUCUUCAAAACAGCCUAAUAUAUUACUGUAUUUGAAUAAAAUUAAAAUUUAGUGAUAUUAAAAAUUAUAAUUCUUUUUCAUGUUUUUCACUUUUACUUUUUUCAUGUUUUAAAUUAUGGAAUUGAGUUUCAAUCUCUUCAAAACACCCUAAUAUAUUACUGUAUUUGAAUAAAAUUAAAAUUUAGUGAUAUUACAAAUUAUAAUAUUCUUUUUUCAUUUUUUUAUUUUCAAUUUUUUCAUGUUUAAACUUAUGGAAUUGAGUUUCAAUCUCUUCAAAAACACCGUAAUAUAUUACUGUAUUUGAAUAAAAUUAAAUUGAGUGACAUUAGAAAUUGUAUAUUUUUUCAUGUUUUCACUUUUCUAUAUCCAUGGAAAUAAACGCCUGAUC